This 281-nucleotide long non-coding RNA is filed under the name Capsicum annuum. Its description in RNAcentral is "long non-coding RNA (CANN_LNC020256)". The record is from RNAcentral. Lineage: Eukaryota; Viridiplantae; Streptophyta; Magnoliopsida; Solanales; Solanaceae.
UUAGGUACUGGAGAACUGGCUGAGAACAGAGCUGGAACUAAAGACUUUGGUCAAAAUUAGGAACAGUUAUUGCCCUCUCACUUAGGCUGAUUAAAAUUGAAGCUACCUAUUCUAGCUCUCUUGUUCUGCCUUUUUAUCUUUGAUCUUAGCCUCUUCUAUCUACAGAUCAUGGACCAUGAGCCUGGAUAUGUCCAUCUUUUUAAUAAACAUUGUUGUUCUUCACUCUUUAACCACAUUAUCUGACACCCUAAAUACGAACUUGCUCAUUUUGGACCUACUGU